This 508-nucleotide ribosomal RNA is filed under the name uncultured bacterium. RNAcentral's name for it is "bacterial SSU rRNA". It matches the Rfam family "Bacterial small subunit ribosomal RNA", at positions 15 to 518 of the family's 1533-position model. The record is from RNAcentral.
GAUCAUGGCUCAGGAUGAACGCUAGCGGCAGGCUUAACACAUACAAGUCGAGGGGCAUCGGGAGUAGCAAUACUUGCCGGCGACCGGCGCAAGGGUGCGUAACGCGUGAGCAACAUGCCCGUAUCAGGGGGAUAAUCCAUGGAAACGUGGUCUAAUACCCCAUAGUAAUUAUGUAAGGCAUCUUAUAUAAUUUAAAGCUUUGGUGGAUACGGAUUGGCUCGCGUGACAUUAGCUAGAUGGUAAGGUAACGGCUUACCAUGGCUACGAUGUCUAGGGGUUCUGAGAGGAAGGUCCCCCACACUGGAACUGAGACACGGUCCAGACUCCUACGGGAGGCAGCAGUGAGGAAUAUUGGACAAUGGAUGGAAAUCUGAUCCAGCCAUGCCGCGUGCAGGAAGACGGCCCUAUGGGUUGUAAACUGCUUUUGUAUGGGAGCAAUAAGGGCUACGUGUAGUCCGAUGAGAGUACCAUACGAAUAAGCACCGGCUAACUCCGUGCCAGCAGCCGC